Molecule: long non-coding RNA, 458 nt
Organism: Spea bombifrons (plains spadefoot toad)
Lineage: Eukaryota; Metazoa; Chordata; Amphibia; Anura; Pelobatidae
Exons: 2
Source: RefSeq, a predicted model, not a curated record
AUACAGGUGGCAGGGGAUCUGAGAGCUGCCUGUGGAUAUCACACUGGACUGGGUAUAAAAUAGUGACGGAUUUUACAGGAAGCUGGCUCAAGAAAUCUGACAGGGUGAGAAUAUGGCAGGAGAGAGAUGAAAUGGCAUACCUGUCAACAGUCCUGAAUUUCCCUGGACCUUUUUGGGCAUAAAUAUACUGCUUAUGGACAGUGCAUUACACUGUGCACAAGCAGCAUUGUGUUUUAACUGUGUAUGUCUAAGACACACAUAGCCUUAAUGCUUGUAAAUGAGCUCCAAACUACCCAGUAUCUGUUCUGAGUAGCCUAAAGCUCAAUGCUGCAGGAAAAUGUUGGGGAGUAUUAUAAUGGUGAGAUUUAAAACAUUGGGGAGAUGUAAUGGCGUGAGUUAAACCAAGUCAAAGCAAGGAGGAUUUUCCUAAAGAAAAAUGAUAGUGGAAGACAUAAGGA